This 30-nucleotide non-coding RNA is filed under the name Rattus norvegicus (Norway rat). The record is from RNAcentral. Lineage: Eukaryota; Metazoa; Chordata; Mammalia; Rodentia; Muridae.
UUGGAGAAUCACUAAGACGGUGUUUCCUCA